Medicago truncatula (barrel medic) is the source of this 850-nucleotide long non-coding RNA. RefSeq lists it as uncharacterized. The transcript has 2 exons. Lineage: Eukaryota; Viridiplantae; Streptophyta; Magnoliopsida; Fabales; Fabaceae. The record is from RefSeq and is a predicted model, not a curated record.
UCAAUAUUUAAUUUUCGAGCACUUAUGCGCCGAGCGAUCACAUAAACAUGAUCAGUGGAGUUGGAGUCCCAGUUCACUCUGCACGGAGCUGUGUCCACAUAAUCAGGAUCGUCCUUCACUGGCUUGCUACAGUUCAAGAUAACUCGUACCUCGGAUCACCACAGGUUGUUGGAUCAUUCUUGAGUCGAAACGGAUGUUUUAUGUUUGUGAGUUUGCCACAUGAAGAAGGUGGACAAUUUGUUUGGUUAUUAUUACUAUUGGUAGCCUCACAUGUUUGAUGAUGAUGAUGAUACACUAAUAUCAAAAUAACAACCGUAGUUUGGAGGAAGCAUACGGAUGAUUCCAUUAGAGCAGGAGAAGGGUUAUUCUCUGCAAGGGAUCAUGAUAUCAGAAGGAUCAUGAAUGUAAGGAUAUAAUUGUCUUUGCCCGAGUCAAAGUCUUUUGUGAUAGAUCAAUCCAUUUAAAACUUUAUUUCUACUUGAGUAAUGAUACAUAGACACCCUUAGGUGGCAAUACACCCUUUGACACCCACACAAAAAUCUGACACGUAGUCACGUGGACCCCGCACAAACACACUUUCUCUUUUCUCUCCUCUUCUCUCUUCCUAAUGCAUGGGAUGUACAAGGGUGUAUGAGAAUAAAGAGUGUCUAUGUAUCAUUACUCUUCUAGUUUGAUUAAACUCUCGGUUAGUGGACAAUGAGUUUAGUCCUUGAAUUAGUUGAUCAUUAGACUAGACGUAGAGUUUUGAUUAAGAAACAAGCUUGUUAAUUGUAUGUUUUUGGCCCGUUUAUUUGAUUGUAUAAAAUAUGAUAAUGACUUUCACGAUAUAAUAAUGAUUAUUUAAAUUAAA